RNAcentral lists this unclassified non-coding RNA (821 nucleotides) under Hevea brasiliensis (rubber tree). The record is from RNAcentral. Lineage: Eukaryota; Viridiplantae; Streptophyta; Magnoliopsida; Malpighiales; Euphorbiaceae.
AAAUCAAGUGUGAGAGUAAGACAAUCAUGGUACAUUUUAUAAAGAAAGAUAGGGGGAAGGAUAGUACUUGAAAAGAAUGAUUCAACUCAGUCCAUUUUAUGACAGGGUAGCGCGUCAUUGUUUGAAAACAAAACUCAUAAGAUCAAAAAAAUUGCUGCAAUAAGUGCAAUACCAAAGGAUACCCUUGUGGUUGUUGCAUCAGAAGCAUCAGCAGGGGUAUCAUCAGAAGUUGUUGCGGGUGUUUUUGCAGGAAUGACCUUGUCAAGCUUUGAAGGUGCAGGAGCUGGCGCUGUAGGUGCAGCGAAAAGGUCUAAUGGAAGGAGGACCUCUUGAUAAACAGCUAACUGCCCAUCUGUAUAUAUAGUGUUAGCCACAGUUGCAGUAUUAACACCUGUUGUUACAUUCACUUGAUUUCCUGAUGUUGUCACAUUUAAUGGGAACUCACCAUUAGCGCUAUUACCUGCCUGCGUACGCAAAGGAUUACUCACAGUUUGAAACUGUGACAUGGAUAUAAAACUAGGAAGGAUGUGAAAUUGCACCAAUUGGACUUUUUCCUGGUCUGAAAGAGAGUUUAGUGUGCCUGCUUUGAGAUUAGCGAAGGCAUUAUCAGGUGGUGCAAAUAUUGUAAGGCCUUGAUUUGAAUUGUUGAGUUGUGUGUUGAUUUGGUCAGCUUCCUGAGUACUUUUCAUUAUCUUAAUAAAGGUUGUGAACUGACCAGCCUUUUCAAGGACUGCUGUGAUGUUGGUUGGACCUGAUGGGGCUGGGGAAGGAGUUUGAGCAGAAGAAGUUGAGCAAUAGAGGAAGAAGAACAUCAAGAAAAG